RNAcentral lists this long non-coding RNA (472 nucleotides) under Phascolarctos cinereus (koala). Its description in RNAcentral is "lncRNA (ENSPCIG00000036871.1)". The record is from RNAcentral. Lineage: Eukaryota; Metazoa; Chordata; Mammalia; Diprotodontia; Phascolarctidae.
CAGAGUUUGGGGGAGGGCUGUUCUAUGGCAGCCAGGGGUUCUGGAUCACAAGGAUGGGGAGUGUGUCAAGUACUGGAGAAUGAGUCUAGACAGCACUGUGUUAGGUCUGCUGCUGAAGGCUUGAACGUAAACUUAGAAGUCCCUUCCCUGUACCAGACAACUUUGGAGACUCAGCUAAAAAGAUGAGUAGUUCAACUCUCACAUGACCAAGAUAAAUAAUCUAGAAAAGAUGAAAAAGGCUGUAUUCUGUAAGUAGGAUGGAAUCCAACAUCUUGGGCAAGUCUUCCAUUUACUUAACCUAAAUGAAAUCUCCAAUCACUUCUCAUCUCCUGACAACAGAGCUUCAGAAUGAUUUCAUCCCAGGUGCUGACCUCCCAUAAAAUCCACAGUGAGACGUUGGAAGCCAGAAAGUCUUGGGCUGUGUGGGGAAAAAAGUGAGAAAAUAACAAUAAAAUACACAUGUGCUGGCGAG